GCGGGAGUAGCUCAGUUGGUAGAGCGUCGGCCUUCCAAGCCGAAUGUCGCGGGUUCGAGUCCCGUCUCCCGCU
Molecule: transfer RNA, 73 nt
Filed under: Marinithermus hydrothermalis DSM 14884
Lineage: Bacteria; Thermotogati; Deinococcota; Deinococci; Thermales; Thermaceae
Rfam family: tRNA
About the family: Transfer RNA (tRNA) molecules are approximately 80 nucleotides in length. Their secondary structure includes four short double-helical elements and three loops (D, anti-codon, and T loops).
Source: Rfam by way of RNAcentral